Molecule: non-coding RNA, 962 nt
Filed under: Phacochoerus africanus (Common warthog)
Lineage: Eukaryota; Metazoa; Chordata; Mammalia; Artiodactyla; Suidae
Description: partial 12S ribosomal RNA
Rfam family: Bacterial small subunit ribosomal RNA
Source: RNAcentral
ACACAGGUUUGGUCCUGGCCUUUCUAUUAAUUCUUAAUAAAAUUACACAUGCAAGCAUCCACGUCCCGGUGAGAAUGCCCUCUAGAUCUUAAAGAUCAAAAGGAGCAGGCAUCAAGCACACCUAAAUGGUAGCUCACAACGCCUUGCUCAACCACACCCCCACGGGAAACAGCAGUGACAAAAAUUAAGCUAUGAACGAAAGUUUGACUAAGUUAUAUUAAUUAGAGUUGGUAAAUCUCGUGCCAGCCACCGCGGUCAUACGAUUAACCCAAAUUAAUAGAUCUACGGCGUAAAGAGUGUUAAAGAAAAGACCACAAUAGAGUUAAGUUAUAACUAAGCUGUAAAAAGCCCUAGUUAAAAUAAAAUAACCCACAAAAGUGACUCUAAGAUCUCUGAUACACGAUAGCUAGGACCCAAACUGGGAUUAGAUACCCCACUAUGCCUAGCCCUAAACCUAGAUAGUCAUCUAACAAAACUUUUCGCCAGAGUACUACUCGCAACAGCCUAAAACUCAAAGGACUUGGCGGUGCUUCACAUCCACCUAGAGGAGCCUGUUCUAUAAUCGAUAAACCCCGAUAAACCUUACCAACUCUUGCCAAUUCAGCCUAUAUACCGCCAUCUUCAGCAAACCCUAAAAAGGAAUAAUAGUAAGCACAAUCACCACACAUAAAAACGUUAGGUCAAGGUGUAGCUUAUGAGUUGGAAAGAAAUGGGCUACAUUUUCUGCACAAGAACAUCUACCACGAAAGUUUUUAUGAAACUAAAAACUAAAGGAGGAUUUAGCAGUAAAUCAAGAAUAGAGUGCUUGGUUGAAUAAGGCCAUGAAGCACGCACACACCGCCCGUCACCCUCCUCAAGCAUACAGUAAUAAAAAUAACAUAUAUCUAAUUACAUAGCCUUGUAAGAGGAGAUAAGUCGUAACAAGGUAAGCAUACUGGAAAGUGUGCUUGGAUAUCAAAGUA